GGGCCGCGGGCGCUGAGGGCCGUGCCCCCCGUGUGGCGCAGGCAUUGAGGAGCUGUGCGCGCGGCGGGACGAGCUGGGCCGGCAGAUCGCGCGCGAGGAGGAGGAGAAGGCCAAGCUGCAGAGUGACAUCCGGCUGCUGACCGAGCGCCUGGCCCGCCUCAACGAGGGGCUGGCCCGCAAGAUGGCCACGCGCAACGAGUUCGAGCGCACCAUCGCCGAGACCGAGGCGGCCUACGGCAAGAUCCUGGAAAGUUCCCAGACACUGCUAAAUGUCCUGAAGAAGGAAGCGGGGAAUCUGAGCAGAGCCACAGAGCCAAAAAGCAGUGUUGUAAAAGAGAGCUGAGCACAUGGACUCACACAUUCCUAAAGUCUCUCGCUUGGACUGAGGGGAGCUGCUAUCAUUUUGGUAUAUGUAGAGGAAACAAUGUCCAGUAAAAUAUUCAUUUUGCACAA
This is a long non-coding RNA of Gavialis gangeticus (Gharial), 453 nucleotides long. RefSeq lists it as uncharacterized. The transcript is spliced from 2 exons. The record is from RefSeq and is a predicted model, not a curated record. NCBI's taxonomy places the organism in Eukaryota, Metazoa, Chordata, Crocodylia, Gavialidae.